CCUACGGGGGGCUGCAGUGGGGAAUAUUGGACAAUGGGGGCAACCCUGAUCCAGCCAUGCCGCGUGUGUGAAGAAGGCCCUCGGGUUGUAAAGCACUUUCAGUGAGGAAGAACGCCUGGUGGUUAAUACCCAUCAGGAAAGACAUCACUCACAGAAGAAGCACCGGCUAACUCCGUUCCAGCAGCCGCGGUAAUACGGAGGGUGCGAGCGUUAAUCGGAAUUACUGGGCGUAAAGCGCGCGUAGGUGGCUUGAUAAGCCGGUUGUGAAAGCCCCGGGCUCAACCUGGGAACGGCAUCCGGAACUGUCAAGCUGGAGUGCAGGAGAGGAAGGUAGAAUUCCCGGUGUAGCGGUGAAAUGCGUAGAGAUCGGGAGGAAUACCAGUGGCGAAGGCGGCCUUCUGGACUGACACUGACACUGAGGUGCGAAAGCGUGGGUAGCAAACAGGAUUAGAUACCCUAGUAGUC
Molecule: ribosomal RNA, 465 nt
Filed under: Vreelandella stevensii
Lineage: Bacteria; Pseudomonadati; Pseudomonadota; Gammaproteobacteria; Oceanospirillales; Halomonadaceae
Description: partial 16S ribosomal RNA
Rfam family: Bacterial small subunit ribosomal RNA
Source: RNAcentral